CCUACGGGGGGCUGCAGUGGGGAAUCUUGGGCAAUGGGCGCAAGCCUGACCCAGCGACGCCGCGUGGGUGAUGAAGGCCUUCGGGUCGUAAAGCCCUGUCGGGUGGGAAGAACGGCAGGGGGGCGCAUAGCCUUUCUGUGUGACGGUACCACCGAAGGAAGCACCGGCCAAUUCCGUGCCAGCAGCCGCGGUAAGACGGAAGGUGCGAGCGUUGCUCGGAAUCACUGGGCGUAAAGGGUGCGUAGGCGGCUUCGUGAGUCGGCUGUGAAAGCCCC
This 275-nucleotide ribosomal RNA is filed under the name uncultured bacterium. RNAcentral's name for it is "partial 16S ribosomal RNA". It matches the Rfam family "Bacterial small subunit ribosomal RNA", at positions 338 to 604 of the family's 1533-position model. The record is from RNAcentral.